UGAGUAACGCGUGAGCGACCAACCUUGCACGAGGGGGAUAACGGACCGAAAGGUUCACUAAUACCGCAUGAGACCACGGUGUUGCAUGACACAGAGGUCAAAAGGAGCAAUCCGGUGCAAGACGGGCUCGCGUCCGAUUAGGUAGUUUGGUGGGGUAAUGGCCCACCAAGCCUAUGAUCGGUAGCCGACCUGAGAGGGUGAUCGGCCACAUUGGAACUGAGAUACGGUCCAAACUCCUACGGGAGGCAGCAGUGGGGAAUAUUGGGCAAGUUACGGGGGGAAACCCUGACCCAGCAACGCCGCGUGAAGGAAGAAGGUUUUCGGAUUGUAAACUUCUGUCCUUGGUGAAGAGAAGAAGACGGUAGCCAAGGAGGAAGCCCCGGCUAACUACGUGCCAGCCGCCGC
Molecule: ribosomal RNA, 405 nt
Filed under: uncultured bacterium
Lineage: Bacteria
Description: bacterial SSU rRNA
Rfam family: Bacterial small subunit ribosomal RNA
Source: RNAcentral